CACGUGGGGGCCAAGCGUUGUCCGGAUUUAUUGGGCGUAAAGAGCUCGUAGGCGGUUCGACAAGUCGGGUGUGAAAACUCCGGGCUCAACCCGGAGACGCCACCCGAUACUGUCGUGACUGGAGUCCGGUAGGGGAGUGGGGAAUUCCUGGUGUAGCGGUGAAAUGCGCAGAUAUCAGGAGGAACACCGGUGGCGAAGGCGCCACUCUGGGCCGGUACUGACGCUGAGGAGCGAAAGCGUGGGUAGCGAACAGG
This 254-nucleotide ribosomal RNA is filed under the name uncultured bacterium. RNAcentral describes it as "partial 16S ribosomal RNA". It matches the Rfam family "Bacterial small subunit ribosomal RNA", at positions 524 to 776 of the family's 1533-position model. The record is from RNAcentral.